GGGCGGUUAGCUCAGUUGGUUAGAGCGCUACCUUGACAUGGUAGAGGUCACAGGUUCGACUCCUGUAUCGCCCA
Molecule: transfer RNA, 74 nt
Filed under: Bacteroidota bacterium
Lineage: Bacteria; Pseudomonadati; Bacteroidota
Also listed under: 5 other names
Description: Bacteroidetes bacterium tRNA-Val
Rfam family: tRNA
About the family: Transfer RNA (tRNA) molecules are approximately 80 nucleotides in length.
Source: RNAcentral